Molecule: unclassified non-coding RNA, 305 nt
Filed under: plant metagenome
Description: partial contains 5.8S ribosomal RNA, internal transcribed spacer 2, and large subunit ribosomal RNA
Rfam family: 5.8S ribosomal RNA (bases 1-105)
Source: RNAcentral
GAAAUGCGAUAAGUAGUGUGAAUUGCAGAAUUCAGUGAAUCAUCGAAUCUUUGAACGCACAUUGCGCCCUUUGGUAUUCCUUAGGGCAUGCCUGUUCGAGCGUCAUCUAAGCCUUCAAGCCCUGCUUGGUGUUGGGUGCCUGUCCCGCCUCCGCGCGCGGACUCACCUCAAAUCCAUUGGCGGCCCCCGCGUCGGCCACGAGCGCAGCAGAAACGCGAACUCGUGAGCCCGUCCGGGCGGCUCCCAGAAGCUACACCCACCCAGUUUGACCUCGGAUCAGGUAGGGAUACCCGCUGAACUUAAGC